RNAcentral lists this long non-coding RNA (372 nucleotides) under Mytilus galloprovincialis (Mediterranean mussel). The record is from RNAcentral. Lineage: Eukaryota; Metazoa; Mollusca; Bivalvia; Mytilida; Mytilidae.
GAAAUAACUGACUGAACUAAUAGAUUGAUAUGUUAUAAAAACAAUAUUAGGUCAAUUAAUGUUGAAGGCCAGUUUCUCAGCCUCAUACAAGAAAAAAGUUUAUAUUUUUCUUACAUUGACAAAUUAUUGUAUUUUUACAGGUGAGAAAACAUGUGAGAAUAUUUGUCAUGUGAUGUUUUAAAAUUAAGUGUCCUUAACCUCAGACAUAACGUCCAAUACAAUCUAAGUAUGAUGUAUACAAGCUGAAGCCCCGCCUAUCUUAAUUACCAUGCUUGAGCAAACACUGAUACAAACAAAGCAAGCAAGCCAAACAAAGAUUUGUCUUGCUAGCAUUAAUGUAAAAGCUGUAAAUAAAUUCUUUAUAUUAUAUUU